This 71-nucleotide transfer RNA is filed under the name Flavobacteriales bacterium. RNAcentral's name for it is "tRNA-Cys". It matches the Rfam family "tRNA". Rfam says of the family: Transfer RNA (tRNA) molecules are approximately 80 nucleotides in length. Lineage: Bacteria; Pseudomonadati; Bacteroidota; Flavobacteriia; Flavobacteriales. The record is from RNAcentral.
GGUCUCGUGGCCGAGCGGCUAGGCAGUGCUCUGCAAAAGCAUCUACAGCGGUUCGAAUCCGCUCGAGACCU